AAACGCCUGGGGAUUACGAGCGCAAGCUUAAAACCCAAAGGAUUUGACGGUGUCCCACCCACCUAGAGGAGCCUGUUCUAUAAUCGAUGAUCCACGAUUCACCUUACCAUUUUUCGCCUCCCUCAGCCUGUAUACCUCCGUCUCCAGCUUACCAUCUGAAUGCUGCAAAGUAAGUGCAAUGGGUUAAUACCCCAAUACGUCAGGUCAAGGUGCAGCUUAUAAAAUGGGAAGCAAUGGGCUACAAUUUCUAACAUAGAACAAACGAAAAACUAUAUGAAACAUAGUCAUGAAGGCGGAUUUAGCAGUAAAAGAAGAACAGCUAGCUUCUUUUAACCGAGCUCUGGGACGUGUACAAACCGCCCGUCACCCUCUUCAACAGCCCUUAAUUUAAGUUUAUAACACUCAACUGGCACCCUAGAGGAGGUAAGUCGUAACAUGGUAAGUGUACUGGAAGGUGCACUUGGUUAAUCAAAGUGUAGCUUAAUAAAAGCCUUUCGCUUACACCGAUAAAAUAUCAGUUAAAUCCCGAUCGCUUUGAGCCCUAAAUCUAGCCUACCUACCACCUAUGUAAACCACCACUAAUCUGAUAAUAAUAAAACAUUUUAUCCGUAUAGUAGAGGAGAU
Molecule: ribosomal RNA, 624 nt
Filed under: Gephyromantis luteus
Lineage: Eukaryota; Metazoa; Chordata; Amphibia; Anura; Mantellidae
Description: partial 12S ribosomal RNA
Rfam family: Bacterial small subunit ribosomal RNA (bases 1-476)
Source: RNAcentral